RNAcentral lists this ribosomal RNA (497 nucleotides) under uncultured bacterium. Its description in RNAcentral is "partial 16S ribosomal RNA". It matches the Rfam family "Bacterial small subunit ribosomal RNA", at positions 28 to 507 of the family's 1533-position model. The record is from RNAcentral.
GAUGAACGCUGGCGGCGUGCCUAAUACAUGCAAGUCGAGCGAACAGACGAGGAGCUUGCUCCUCUGACGUUAGCGGCGGACGGGUGAGUAACACGUGGAUAACCUACCUAUAAGACUGGGAUAACUUCGGGAAACCGGAGCUAAUACCGGAUAAUAUAUUGAACCGCAUGGUUCAGUAGUGAAAGACGGUUUUGCUGUCACUUAUAGAUGGAUCCGCGCCGCAUUAGCUAGUUGGUAAGGUAACGGCUUACCAAGGCAACGAUGCGUAGCCGACCUGAGAGGGUGAUCGGCCACACUGGAACUGAGACACGGUCCAGACUCCUACGGGAGGCAGCAGUAGGGAAUCUUCCGCAAGGGGCGAAAGCCUGACGGAGCAACGCCGCGUGAGUGAUGAAGGUCUUCGGAUCGUAAAACUCUGUUAUUAGGGAAGAACAAAUGUGUAAGUAACUAUGCACGUCUUGACGGUACCUAAUCAGAAAGCCACGGCUAACUACGUG